RNAcentral lists this ribosomal RNA (255 nucleotides) under uncultured bacterium. RNAcentral describes it as "partial 16S ribosomal RNA". It matches the Rfam family "Bacterial small subunit ribosomal RNA", at positions 524 to 777 of the family's 1533-position model. The record is from RNAcentral.
UACGUAGGGGGCUAGCGUUGUCCGGAAUCAUUGGGCGUAAAGCGCGUGUAGGCGGCCCGGUAAGUCCGCUGUGAAAGUCGGGGGCUCAACCCUCGGAAGCCGGUGGAUACUGUCGGGCUGGAGUACGGAAGAGGCGAGUGGAAUUCCUGGUGUAGCGGUGAAAUGCGCAGAGUAUCAGGAGGAACACCUAUUGCGAAGGCAGCUCGCUGGGACGUUACUGACGCUGAGACGCGAAAGCGUGGGGAGCAAACAGGG